This 5287-nucleotide long non-coding RNA is filed under the name Glycine max (soybean). RNAcentral's name for it is "long non-coding RNA (GMAX_LNC000999)". The record is from RNAcentral. Lineage: Eukaryota; Viridiplantae; Streptophyta; Magnoliopsida; Fabales; Fabaceae.
GAAGAUUGAAUGACUGAUUCAAGGGUCAGAAAAAUGAAAACAAGGACAAUAUGACAAAAGCAAAGGAAAAUAAGCAUGUACCUAAUUAAUAACUACUUGUAAUUUGAUAGAAAUGUGAUUAGUGAAGUGGGGCCUAGGCCAAGGGUGUGGAGAGUUUAUACUAGGAAAAAGACAAGGAAUGAAAGAUGAUGACGUGGCUGUGAACGCAUGAGAGUGGCUAUAGAUAGCUAUUGUUGGAAGGGAAUAAUCAGGAAGGAAUUCAUUUAGGAUUUGGUGGGGUCGCCUCUGGGUGAUUUGGGAGCACUGCGUGCUUAGGAAUUGGUUGCUAUUACCAGUUUGUUAUUUUUCUUUUAUCUUCCUGUAAUUGUGGAUCUCACAGCAAUACCAUUGCAGUUUCAUUACUCAUAUUACACUGUUAUAUCCAUUUUAUCACUAUUUUUGUGCAUUAAGACCCAUCAAUUGGUCCGACCUGCCGGAUCAAUCUCACACAAUGAAGAAGAUUGUAGAUGUCAAGGAAGCCUAAGAUGAGUGACCGAGUUGACGCUUUGGAGACACAAAUGGGGAAUGUGACAACAACGCUGCAAGAGCUCGCUCUCCAAGUGCAGCAACAAAGCUUGAUUCUCGUAGAAUUAAGCAAACAGAUCGGAAAGAGAAGGGAGACUCAAGAGGAGGAAGCCUCUGCUGGUGACUCUGCACAGAGUGAAUCUCGCCUCGUCGGGAAGAAGGUGAAGUUGCCUCUGUUUGAUGGUGAUGAUCCUGUGGCUUGGAUUACACGGGCCGAAAUUUAUUUCGAUGUUCAGAAUACAUCGGAUGAUAUGCGUGUGAAGUUGGCUCUCCUGAGCAUGGAAGGUUCAACUAUUCACCGGUUCAACCUGUUGAUGGAGACUGAAGAUGAGUUGUCAUGGGAGAAGCUGAAGCGAGCGUUAAUUGCACGUUAUGGAGGACGUCGUCUGGAGAAUUCGUUCGAGGAACUUUCGACGUUGAGGCAGAAAGGAAGUGUGGAGGAAUUCGUCGAAGCUUUUGAGCUGUUGUCAUCACAAGUUGGAAGGCUUCCUGAAGAACAAUACCUGGGAUAUUUUAUGAGUGGAUUGAAACCUCAAAUUCGGAGGAGGGUGCGUACUCUGAAUCCUCGAAAUAGGAUGGAGAUGAUGAGAAUUGCGAAAGAUGUUGAAGAGGAAUUGGAGGAAGAUGACGAUGGUGAGCGUCGUGAGGUGAAAAAAGGGGGGUACGAGCGUGUGGGCCAGAAGGAUUGGGCCAGGUUAUUAAUGAGGAAAGGGGGAUCUCAACCCAGGGAUGCAACUCGUUCGUUUCAGUCGGGUGGGUCAAACCCGAGUCAGAAAACGGGUCCAAGUGGAUCCAACACAAAUUCAACUUCGUCUUUGGUUUCCUCAGCUCGCAAAAACGAUGGGGGUCCGCGUUCUGGCACGAUGGAGAGGUGGAAGGGAAUACGAAGUAUCCACAAUGAUGAAUUCGAAGAGAGGAGAGCAAAGGGUCUUUGUUUCAAAUGUGGGGGAAAAUACCACCCUACAUUGCAUAAAUGUCCAGAAUGAGCUCUUAGGGUUCUAAUCCUAGGAGAAGGUGAAACCAUGACAAAGGAAGGGGAAAUUGUAAGUAUGGAGGAUGUGACGGUGGAAAGUGAAGAAAAAGUGGAGGUGGAAUGUAAACUGAUGGGGGUAUUGGGAAGCAUGGGCGAGUCUCACACCAUGAAGGUUGAAGGGAAGAUACAGAAUGUGGAUUUAUUGGUGUUGAUUGAUAGUGGUGCGAGCCACAAUUUCAUUUCUCCCAAAGUGACUACUGCUUUGGGUCUUGUCAUCACACCUACAGCAGCUAAGAGUAUCAAGCUUGGUGAUGGUCAUAAGGUGAUAACAAAUGGAGUGUGUAAAGGGGUCAAUAUGAAGAUGGGGGGGGAUUGAAGUGAUUGUGGAUGCGUUGGUGUUGGAGCUAGGGGGAAUGGAUAUGGAGUUAGGAGUUGCCUGGUUAAGCACUCUUGGGAAGGUGAUUAUGGAUUGGAAGGCCAUGACUAUGCAAUUUUCUUAUGAAAAUGAGUUGGUGAAAUUGCAAGGUCAAGGCAGUAAGGUGGUCAGACAAUGUUAUUUGAACUCCUAUCUUGAGGAUACUCAUAGCAGAACUGAGCUGGGUUGGUGGUGGGUUCAUCUACAGUCAAUGGAAGCAACCAAGUCAGUGGUUCCCAAAGGCUUAAAACCUAUACUAGAAGAAUUCCAGGAAGUGUUUGGAAACAACAUUCAGCUACCUCCUGAGAGGAGUCAGGUGCAUCGGAUUAAGCUUUUAUCCUGAUCAUGGUGCCAUUAAUGUCAGACCCUACAGGUACCCUCAUUACCAAAAAGAAGAAAUUGAAAAGCAAGUGUCAGAACUGUUGAAAGCUGGAGUCAUUCGGCCGAGUAUGAGUUCAUUUUCAAGUCCUGUGUUAUUAGUCAAAAAGAAAGACAAGAGCCGGAGAAUGUGUGUAGACUACAAGGCCUUAAAUAAAGCUACAAUACCAGAUAAGUACCCAAUCCCUAUACUUGAUGAGUUGUUAGAUGAAUUAUAUGGAGCUACUAUGUUCUCUAAAAUUGAUCUAAAAUCAGGAUAUCAUCAAAUUAGAGUGCAUGAGGAUGACAUCCCUAAAACGGCGUUUAGAACACAUAACAGCCACUAUGAAUAUUUAGUAAUGCCUUUUGGACUAAUGAAUGCCCCAACUACCUUCCAAGCCACCAUGAAUGACAUUUUUCGGCCUUAUUUGAGAAAGUUUGUCUCGGUAUUCUUUGAUGAUAUUCUGAUUUACAAUAAAGAUAUCGAGGAACACCAAAUGCAUUUGAGGAUGGUUUUGUCUGUUUUAGUUGAGCAUUGUUUUGUGGCAAAUCAAGCAAAGUGUAGGUUUGGUUGUGCUCAAAUUGAUUAUCUUGACCAUAUCAUUUCUGGAGAAGGUGUGGCAGUGGACCCUGAAAAGGUGAAGUGUAUUCUUGCAUGGCCCACACCAAAGAAUGUGAAGGGGGUACGUGGUUUUUUGGGUCUCACAGGGUAUUAUAGAAAGUUUAUCCAGGAUUAUGGUAAAAUAGCAAAACCUCUCACCGAAUUGACUAAGACAAUUUUUCUUGGGGAAUAGAAGCUGUCAAGGCCUUUGAGGAGAUGAAGAGGAUCAUGACUUCUCCCCCUGUGCUAAUUCUUCCAAAUUUUUAUUUACCUUUUGAAGUUGAGUGUGAUGCGGCUGGCAGAGGUAUAGGUGUUGUUUUAAUGCAGCAGAGACGACCUAUUGCUUUCUUCAGUAAAGCUUUAUCUGAUGGGAAUCUGGCAAAAUCUGUCUAUGAGAAGGAAUUGAUGGCCCUUGUGCUUUGUAUUCAGCACUGAAGACAUUAUUUAUUGGGCAGAGAAUUUAUUGUGCACACAGAUCAUCAAAGCUUGAAGCAUUUUUUACAACAGAGAGUUUCAUCUCCAGAUCAGGUGUUGAUUGGCCAAACUGCUAGGCUAUCAAUUUGAAGUUAAGUACAAACCUGGCUUAGAGAAUAGAGCCGCUAAUGCUCUGUCCAGAUGUCAUGGUGAGGUAGAAAUGAAUUCUAUUAUUUCUUUUCCCUUGUGGGCUGAUAGACAGAAACUUUUGGAUGAAAUAACUAAUGACCCGUACAUUCAAAAGUUACUGAAAGAAGUGCAGGAGUCUCCUGAUGUUAGACCUGAGUUUCAGGUGAAACAUGGAGUUUUACUUUAUCAUGGCAGGCUGGUGAUUUCCCCCGAAUCACCCUCUAUUCCUUGGCUAUUGGAAGAAUUUCAUAGUACUCCUGCUGGAGGGCACUCAGGUUUUCUGAGAACAUACCGAAGACUGGCAGAUUCCUUAUAUUGGGUGGGGAUGCAGAGGAGUGUAAGGGAUUAUGUUAGAUCUUGUGAUGUUUGUCAGAGACAAAAAUAUAGUGUUACUACUCCUGGUGGUUUGUUACAGCCUCUACCUAUUCCUAAUGGUGUGUGGGAGGACUUGUCCUUAGACAUUAUCACUGGGUUGCCUAAGGCUAAGGGUUAUGCGGCUGUGUUAGUGGUUGUGGAUAGACUAUCUAAGUAUAGUCAUUUUGUUUUACUCAAACAUCCAUAUACUGCUAAGUCAAUUGCUGAGCUCUUUGUUAAAGAAGUGGUGAGACUUCAUGGAAUUCCAAGUUCUAUAAUCAGUGAUCCUUUAUUUGUGAGUCAUUUCUGGAUGGAGCUGUUCAAGUUACAAGGUACUAAGCUGAAAAUGAGUUCAGCAUAUCAUCCGGAAACAGAUGGUCAAACGGAGGUGGUUAACAGGUGUCUGGAAAGUUAUCUAUGGUGCUUUGCUUCUGAUCAUCCAAAGACUUGGUCAUUGUGGGUCCCUUGGGCUGAGUUUUGGUACAACACUACCUUUCAUGUGUCUAUUGGGAAGACUCCGUUCGAGGUGGUAUAUGGGAGGCAACCUCCUGCAUUGUUGAGAUUUUUGUCUAAUGAGACUAAGGUUGCUGCUGUGGCAUUGGAGUUGAGUGAAAGAGAUGAGGCUUUGAAUCAACUCAAACUCCACUUGCUCAAAGCUCAGGAACAAAUGACAAGGUAUGCUAACAAGAAGAGGAGGGACUUGUGUUUUGAAGUUGGAGAAUGGGUCUUUCUGAAACUUAGAUCCCAUAGACAACAAUCAGUGGUAAAAAGAAUUCAUCAGAAACUCGCUGCAAGAUUCUAUGGACCUUUCCAGGUGGCGGAUAAGAUUGGCGAAGUAGCUUACAGGUUGAAACUUCCAUCAGCAUCUAGAAUUCAUCCAGUUUUUCAUGUGUCAUUACUUAAGCGAGCUGUUGGGAACUAUCAGGUACAGGGAGAGUUACCUAAAGAUUUGGAAGUGACUGAGGAGACUAAUGCGUACCCAGACAAGGUGUUGGGUUCAAGAGUCAUAAUACAGGGGGGUAAUGAGGUUCAGCAGACCUUGAUACAAUGGAAAAAUAAAGCUUUAGAGGAUGUGACAUGGGAGGAUAAUGAAGUCUUGCAUUGUCAGUUUGCAGAAUUUUGCCUUGAGGACAAGGCAUUGUCUAAGGAGGUGGGAGUUGAUAGAAAUGUGAUUAGUGAAGUGGGGCCUAGGCCAAGGGUGUGGAGAGUUUAUACUAGGAAAAAGACAAAAGGAAUGAAAGAUGAUGACGUGGCUGUGAACGCAUGAGAGUGGCUAUAGAUAGCUAUUGCUGGAAGGGAAUAAUCAGGAAGGAAUUCAGUUAGGAUUUGGUGGGGUCGCCUCUAGGUGAUUUGGGAGCACUGCGUGCUUAGGAAUUGGUUGCUAUUACCAGUUUGUUAUUUUUCUUUUAUCUUCCUGUAA